AUGAGUCGUGGCGGGAGUGCUGGAGGUGGUCAAAGUUCUCUGGGUUACCUGUUUGGAGAUGGUGAGCCUGCAAAGCCUGCUGCAGCACCAGCUGCGAAGCCAGCACCUGCUGAGAAACCAGCACUGGCAGCUGCCGAUGUAACCAAGCAGAUUCCAGCUGGCAUUCCAGGUAGCCGGGCGAACAACUACUACCGUGCAGAUGGCCAGAACACGGGCAACUUCCUUACGGACCGUCCUUCAACCAAGGUUCAUGCUGCUCCCGGCGGUGGCUCGUCCCUGGGCUACUUGUUUGGCGGGAAGUGA
Molecule: ribosomal RNA, 303 nt
Filed under: Triticum aestivum (bread wheat)
Lineage: Eukaryota; Viridiplantae; Streptophyta; Magnoliopsida; Poales; Poaceae
Description: partial small subunit ribosomal RNA
Source: RNAcentral